RNAcentral lists this ribosomal RNA (500 nucleotides) under uncultured Glomeromycotina. RNAcentral's name for it is "partial small subunit ribosomal RNA". It matches the Rfam family "Eukaryotic small subunit ribosomal RNA", at positions 591 to 1092 of the family's 1831-position model. The record is from RNAcentral. Lineage: Eukaryota; Fungi; Glomeromycota.
CCAAUAGCGUAUAUUAAAGUUGUUGCAGUUAAAAAGCUCGUAGUUGAAUUUCGGGGUCAGCAAGUUGGUCGUGCCACCGGUAUGCACUGGUUUCGCUGAUUCCUCCUUCUUGUAGAACCUUAAUGCCAUUAACUUGGUCUUGCGGGGAAACAGGACUGUUACUUUGAAAAAAUUAGAGUGUUUGAAGCAGGCUAACGCUUGAAUACAUUAGCAUGGAAUAAUGAAAUAGGACGAUCGAUCCUAUUUUGUUGGUUUCUAGGAUUGACGUAAUGAUUAAUAGGGAUAGUUGGGGGCAUUAGUAUUCAAUUGUCAGAGGUGAAAUUCUUGGAUUUAUUGAAGACUAACUACUGCGAAAGCAUUUGCCAAGGAUGUUUUCAUUAAUCAAGAACGAAAGUUAGGGGAUCGAAGACGAUCAGAUACCGUCGUAGUCUUAACCAUAAACUAUGCCGACUAGGGAUCGGAUGAUGUUAAUUUUAUAAUGACUCAUUCGGCGCCUUACG